This is a non-coding RNA of Termitomyces sp. Mi166#008, 91 nucleotides long. NCBI's taxonomy places the organism in Eukaryota, Fungi, Basidiomycota, Agaricomycetes, Agaricales, Lyophyllaceae. The record is from the annotation of a GenBank genome assembly.
GGCGACAUGGCCGAGCGGUCUAAGGCGCUAGAAUCAGGAUUUCUGGUUAAUCUAGUCUUUCGGGGCGUGAGUUCGAAUCUCACUGUCGUCA